This 1303-nucleotide long non-coding RNA is filed under the name Malus domestica (apple). Its description in RNAcentral is "long non-coding RNA (MDOM_LNC017063)". Lineage: Eukaryota; Viridiplantae; Streptophyta; Magnoliopsida; Rosales; Rosaceae. The record is from RNAcentral.
UUAAUCCAAUUAAACCGUUAUUUCCUAUUGGGCGUUGGACCCAACUAUUCCAAUUUGCAUACAUAUAAACAAAAGGAAUACAUGAAAUAAUAAUAAGGGCUUAUGCCCUUUUACAACACAAAUGAUGGACUUAUGUCCAUUUAAAACAAAUUGAAUUAAUCAAAUUACAUUCAAAUCUCAUCUACUUAACCCAAACAUUCAUAAUGUAAAUCGGCCAAUCACAUAGUUCAAUUAUCGAGGCCUUUGGUUCAUAAUCACCCUUUUCUUAAUCAAUCACCUUAACUAAGAAAACAACUUUAAACAAUUGGUUUUUGGAUCCAUAGAAUUGAUUUAAAUGGAACUAAAUGAAAUGAAAAUCCAAUUCUCAUUUAGGAGACAAAACCAUUUUGUUCUCAUCUUAUUUGGGCCAUAAGGAAACUAUGACCACAACAAUUGGGCCACAAGGUAAAUACAAAAACUUUUGGGGUCACUUUGUAAAAACACAAAAGUCCACAACUUCAUGUAAUUCCAACUAGAACCCAAAAUUUUAAUAAUGUAAAAACAUCAUUAAAGGAUCAAAACAAUUUGUCCUUUAGAGUUUUUGGGCCUUAACGUAAAAACGUAAACUUUUGGGCCAAAAUGCAAAUACACAAAAGUAUCAAAACUUUAUGUAAUUGCACAAAAGGCCCCAAAAGUACCCCCACUAGGGGUUGGCCGGCCAUUUGAGAAGAAAUGAAAAAAUUUCUAAAAAGUUUUUGCAAGUUGAUUUUGGUGGGUGAGGAAAAGGUGAAAUUGAUGGUUUGUAAGAAAAUGUUUUGUAAAACAUUAAAGAGUUUUGUCAAACAUUAAAGCCAAUAUUAAUGCUUCACCAAUAACCAUCACCCAUCAAAAUUAAACCAAAACUUUAUGAAAAAACAUAAAACUUUUGAAUCAAAACUUCAAAACUUUUUGUUCUUGGCAAGAACUUCAAGAACAUUGAAGAACACUCAUGAAAACUCAUAAUAGCUCCAUGAAUGUUUUCACUCACCAAAACUCAAUUUUUUUACCACUCAAAAGAGGGCUAAUAUCCUAGGGUACUUAGGGGUUCCAAAAGUCACUUUAAAACCAUUUUAACAAGACAAACAUGAACCCAAAAAAUCACCCUUUGGAUUUGGCCGAAUUUCCCAAAAUACAGGGCACCAAAUUUUAAUUCCAAUAUUCAUGCUUAAAUGAAAUACAUCUACAACAUUUGAGAUGCUAAAUUUUCUAGCAAAAUUUAUAUAUUCAAAAGCAAGAACAAAGCUUGUAACAUUUACAACAUUUAAAUCACAAAAUAUGAAAGUCA